This 465-nucleotide ribosomal RNA is filed under the name uncultured bacterium. RNAcentral describes it as "partial 16S ribosomal RNA". It matches the Rfam family "Bacterial small subunit ribosomal RNA", at positions 28 to 506 of the family's 1533-position model. The record is from RNAcentral.
GACGAACGCUGGCGGCGUGCUUAACACAUGCAAGUCGAACGGAAAGGCCCUGCUUGCAGGGUACUCGAGUGGCGAACGGGUGAGUAACACGUGGGUGAUCUGCCCUGCACUUCGGGAUAAGCUUGGGAAACUGGGUCUAAUACCGGAUAGGAGCCAUCUUUAGUGUGGUGGUUGGAAAGUUUUUUCGGUGUAGGAUGAGCUCGCGGCCUAUCAGCUUGUUGGUGGGGUAAUGGCCUACCAAGGCGGCGACGGGUAGCCGGCCUGAGAGGGUGUACGGCCACAUUGGGACUGAGAUACGGCCCAGACUCCUACGGGAGGCAGCAGUGGGGAAUAUUGCACAAUGGGCGCAAGCCUGAUGCAGCGACGCCGCGUGGGGGAUGAAGGCCUUCGGGUUGUAAACUCCUUUCGCUAGGGACGAAGCUUUGUUGUGACGGGACCUAGAUAAGAAGCACCGGCUAACUACGU